RNAcentral lists this ribosomal RNA (377 nucleotides) under uncultured bacterium. Its description in RNAcentral is "bacterial SSU rRNA". It matches the Rfam family "Bacterial small subunit ribosomal RNA", at positions 523 to 898 of the family's 1533-position model. The record is from RNAcentral.
AUACGGAGGGUGCAAGCGUUGUUCGGAAUUAUUGGGCGUAAAGAACGUGUAGGCGGGUCUGUAUGUCAGAUGUGAAAGCCCUCGGCUCAACCGAGGAAGUGCAUCUGAAACUGCAUAUCUUGAGUACGAGAGAGGAGAGUGGAAUUCCCAGUGUAGAGGUGAAAUUCAUAGAUAUUGGGAAGAACACCGGCGGCGAAAGCGGCUCUCUGGCUCGAUACUGACGCUGAGACGUGAAAGCGUGGGGAGCAAACAGGAUUAGAUACCCUGGUAGUCCACGCCGUAAACGAUGUGCACUAGGUGUUGGAGGUAAUAAAACCUUCAGUGCCGCAGCUAACGCAUUAAGUGCACCGCCUGGGGAUUACGGUCGCAAGAUUAAA